This 22-nucleotide non-coding RNA is filed under the name Rattus norvegicus (Norway rat). Lineage: Eukaryota; Metazoa; Chordata; Mammalia; Rodentia; Muridae. The record is from RNAcentral.
UGAUUAAAACGAUCACUGCUGA